GAUGAAGAACGCAGCGAAAUGCGAUAAGUAAUGCGAAUUGCAGAAUUCCAGUGAGUCAUCGAAUCUUUGAACGCACAUUGCGCCCUUUGGUAUUCCAAAGGGCAUGCCUGUUCGAGCGUCAUUUGUACCCUCAAGCUUUGCUUGGUGUUGGGCGUCUUGUCUCUAGCUUUGCUGGAGACUCGCCUUAAAGUAAUUGGCAGCCGGCCUACUGGUUUCGGAGCGCAGCACAAGUCGCACUCUCUAUCAGCAAAGGUCUAGCAUCCAUUAAGCCUUUUUUUCAACUUUUGACCUCGGAUCAGGUAGGGAUACCCGCUGAACUUAAGCAUAUCAAUAAGCGGAGGA
Molecule: unclassified non-coding RNA, 342 nt
Filed under: soil metagenome
Description: partial contains 5.8S ribosomal RNA, internal transcribed spacer 2, and large subunit ribosomal RNA
Rfam family: 5.8S ribosomal RNA (bases 1-121)
Source: RNAcentral